This 453-nucleotide ribosomal RNA is filed under the name uncultured organism. RNAcentral's name for it is "partial 16S ribosomal RNA". It matches the Rfam family "Bacterial small subunit ribosomal RNA", at positions 330 to 799 of the family's 1533-position model. The record is from RNAcentral.
CGUACACUCCUGCGGGAGGCAGCAGUGGGGAAUAUUGGACAAUGGGCGCAAGCCUGAUCCAGCCAUGCCGCGUGAGUGAUGAAGGCCCUAGGGUUGUAAAGCUCUUUCACCGGUGAAGAUAAUGACGGUAACCGGAGAAGAAGCCCCGGCUAACUUCGUGCCAGCAGCCGCGGUAAUACGAAGGGGGCUAGCGUUGUUCGGAUUUACUGGGCGUAAAGCGCACGUAGGCGGACUAUUAAGUCAGGGGUGAAAUCCCGGGGCUCAACCCCGGAACUGCCUUUGAUACUGGUAGUCUUGAGUUCGAGAGAGGUGAGUGGAAUUCCGAGUGUAGAGGUGAAAUUCGUAGAUAUUCGGAGGAACACCAGUGGCGAAGGCGGCUCACUGGCUCGAUACUGACGCUGAGGUGCGAAAGUGUGGGGAGCAAACAGGAUUAGAUACCCCAGUAGUCCCAUG